This 1149-nucleotide ribosomal RNA is filed under the name human gut metagenome. RNAcentral's name for it is "bacterial SSU rRNA". It matches the Rfam family "Bacterial small subunit ribosomal RNA", at positions 370 to 1520 of the family's 1533-position model. The record is from RNAcentral.
AAUGGGGGGAACCCUGAACGAGCAAUGCCGCGUGAGUGAAGAAGGUCUUCGGAUCGUAAAGCUCUGUUGUAAGAGAAAAACGACAUUCAUAGGGAAUGAUGAGUGAGUGAUGGUAUCUUACCAGAAAGUCACGGCUAACUACGUGCCAGCAGCCGCGGUAAUACGUAGGUGGCGAGCGUUAUCCGGAAUGAUUGGGCGUAAAGGGUGCGUAGGUGGCAGAACAAGUCUGGAGUAAAAGGUAUGGGCUCAACCCGUACUGGCUCUGGAAACUGUUCAGCUAGAGAACAGAAGAGGACGGCGGAACUCCAUGUGUAGCGGUAAAAUGCGUAGAUAUAUGGAAGAACACCGGUGGCGAAGGCGGCCGUCUGGUCUGUUGCUGACACUGAAGCACGAAAGCGUGGGGAGCAAAUAGGAUUAGAUACCCUAGUAGUCCACGCCGUAAACGAUGAGAACUAGGUGUUGGGGGAAUAACUCAGUGCCGCAGUUAACGCAAUAAGUUCUCCGCCUGGGGAGUAUGCACGCAAGUGUGAAACUCAAAGGAAUUGACGGGGGCCCGCACAAGCGGUGGAGUAUGUGGUUUAAUUCGAAGCAACGCGAAGAACCUUACCAGGCCUUGACAUCCCUUGCAGAGGUAUAGAGAUAUAUCCGAGGUUAACAAGGAGACAGGUGGUGCAUGGUUGUCGUCAGCUCGUGUCGUGAGAUGUUGGGUUAAGUCCCGCAACGAGCGCAACCCUUGUGAUAUGUUACUAACAUUGAGUUGAGGACUCAUAUCAGACUGCCGGUGAUAAACCGGAGGAAGGUGGGGAUGACGUCAAAUCAUCAUGCCCCUUAUGGCCUGGGCUACACACGUACUACAAUGGCGUCUACAAAGAGCGGCAAGCCUGUGAAGGCAAGCGAAUCUCAUAAAGGACGUCUCAGUUCGGAUUGAAGUCUGCAACCCGACUUCAUGAAGCUGGAAUCGCUAGUAAUCGCGAAUCAGCAUGUCGCGGUGAAUACGUUCUCGGGCCUUGUACACACCGCCCGUCAAACCAUGGGAGUUGGUAAUGCCCGAAGCCGGUGGCAUAACCUUUCGAGGAGUGAGCCGUCGAAGGCAGGACCGAUGACUGGGGUUAAGUCGUAACAAGGUAUCCCUACGGGAACGUGGGGAUG